This is an RNA transcript of Mya arenaria, 1942 nucleotides long. RefSeq lists it as uncharacterized. NCBI's taxonomy places the organism in Eukaryota, Metazoa, Mollusca, Bivalvia, Myida, Myidae. The transcript is spliced from 9 exons. The record is from RefSeq and is a predicted model, not a curated record.
UCUGUUGGUAAUCUGGAGUUCGAGCAAAGGCCUCAAGAUAGAAAUGUUAAACGGCAGAAACAGGCGGUCGCCAUAUGUCUGGUGAAACCCCCUAAAAACGGCGAUAUGGUCGUGUGUUCAUGGUUGUUUGAAGGAGAGCCGAUACCGGAGUACAGAGCAUCUACCGGAUAAAGAGGUUUAGUGAGCAGAAUGAAGGACAGUAUAUAUGUAUAGCACGGGCAGGGAGACUUACUGCGGAACAUGUUUUCUCCAUGACGAUGGUCAAUGACUGCAACGUAGAGGGUUUCAGGGGACCCAAAAAUGAAGAAGGGACAGUUGGCAACAUGGUCUUCCUGACAUGCUCUGCCCCGAAUGCUAAAGACAUACUCUGGAUAAAGGACGGCAUGGUCAUAGAUUUUGAAGAAAACAAAAGAAUGAAACACCUUUCAAACCAUUACCUGCAAAUCUCCAGUUUGGAAUUGGAAGACGAAGGGGACUACUCGUGUGAAGCUACAUACUCCGAAAAUUGCGGAAGCAAGAAGACUGCACAUCUCACGGUCUUUCAAUUUGGAGUACUCAACGAGUAAUGUGGCAGAUCUGUACAUGACCAGACGAGGGAAUCUUCUGCGAUAGGCGUUAUUUCAAAAGGAGACGAUGCCAUACCUAAGGAAAACCCGUGGCAUGUCACAAUGUUCCACCUUAAACUGCCAGCUGCAUUGACCUUUUGCCGGGAGGAAAGGAGGCGUUCACGCCCGAAAAUGUUCAACUAAAUUUUGCAAGUCUAUAUGCCAUAUGCAGCCAAAGCAGACUGUGUUGACAAUCUUCCAUUUGCCGGACAAAACAUUCAACUGACAGACAACAUGUUCUGUGCUGGAAAACUUAGACGCAGCAUGGGUGACGUGUGCCCAGGGGAUACCGGUGGUGGUCUGCUCAUGGAGGCGGUUGGAGAGUUCCGGUGGGUUCUCACAGGCGUCGUGUCGUUCGGACCCGGGGGAUGCAACAAUUGGAACUUCUACAGUGUGUUCACGAACGUUGGCAACUUCUACGAGUGGAUCAAUGACAACACUCAUUUCACAGAGGAGGAAGUGGACACGUCGUUUCUGGACGAGUCAAAGAAAUAAGCACUUCGCCUCGGUUAUCGACAACUUUAGUUUAUAGAUAUAAAUACCAUUGUAUGAGAUGAAAUCUGUACUUUAUCAAGUAAUGUACCUAAGCUCUUUUGUUUCAACUCAAAUGGUUUGAAUGUGCAGUUUGGUGUAGACGUUUACAAGAUAUUAAUGUUAUUGAAUAUUGUGAUCGUACUAUUGUGUAAUCUUUAGGAGUUCCUUAGAAAUUAUUCAAGAGAUUAUGCUGCAUGGUGUUUAUCCCUAUACAAGCGAUAAUUGUUGGAAAUGUUAACUUCCUGAAAAAAAUAAAGAGUUGAAUAUUGCAUCCUUACAUAACUAAGCUUUCAGUCCUUUGAUUUUAUGAAGAUUUUGCUAAUUCAUCUUAUCUUUAAAGCCUUUUUUGGCUAAAACUGUUUUGGCUGACUCGGUGUGUUUUGGCAUGUGACUUCAUUUUACAUUUUCAAAUUAUUUGGAAGAAAAGAUUAUCUAAUACAUGUCGCUUUUAUUUUUAAUAAUAGUGUCUUUAUUUGUUCCCAGUUUUAGUACAAUGAUGCGUUUUAUUAUGAAACUCUAUGACCACACAGUUUUAAACCUUUUAUUUUAUAAGGCAGACUGUGUGUGGUGUUUAUAGUUUUAAACAAUGACUGCAUCGUACCAAACAGAGUUGGGAUCUCUAAUCAUAGAAGUACUUGUGGGUUAACUAUAAGUCUAUUAUUAUUUGUUUUAUUGUUAAGUUUCCACAAGUUAAUGCAUACCUUGAUAAAAUUUACCCUUUGCGUUUUAUUUUCAUUUAGGAUUUUUGGGAUAAGAGUGAGGUUUGUGCACUUAAAAUGGUUUAAACCCCCAGUAAAUUUACA